UACGAAGGGGGCUAGCGUUGCUCGGAAUGACUGGGCGUAAAGGGCUCGUAGGUGGUCAACUAAGUCGGACGUGAAAUCCCUCGGCUUAACCGGGGAACUGCAUCUGAUACUGGAUGGCUUGAGUUUGGGAGAGGGAUGCGGAAUUCCUGGUGUAGCGGUGAAAUGCGCAGAUAUCAGGAGGAACACCGGUGGCGAAGGCGGUGCUCUGGGCCAGUACUGACGCUGAGGAGCGAAAGCGUGGGUAGCAAACAGG
RNAcentral lists this ribosomal RNA (253 nucleotides) under uncultured bacterium. RNAcentral's name for it is "partial 16S ribosomal RNA". It matches the Rfam family "Bacterial small subunit ribosomal RNA", at positions 524 to 776 of the family's 1533-position model. The record is from RNAcentral.